UACAGAGGGUGCGAGCGUUAAUCGGAAUUACUGGGCGUAAAGCGUGCGUAGACGGUUAUUUAAGUCGGGUGUGAAAGCCCCGGGCUCAACCUGGGAAUUGCAUUCGAGACUGAAUAGCUAGGGUACGGUAGAGGGAAGUGGAAUUUCCGGUGUAGCGGUGAAAUGCGUAGAUAUCGGAAGGAACACCGAUGGCGAAGGCAGGUCUCUGGGCCACUACUGACGCUGAGAAGCGAAAGCAUGGGGAGCGAACAGG
Molecule: ribosomal RNA, 253 nt
Filed under: uncultured bacterium
Lineage: Bacteria
Description: partial 16S ribosomal RNA
Rfam family: Bacterial small subunit ribosomal RNA
Source: RNAcentral